RNAcentral lists this ribosomal RNA (455 nucleotides) under uncultured bacterium. RNAcentral's name for it is "bacterial SSU rRNA". It matches the Rfam family "Bacterial small subunit ribosomal RNA", at positions 340 to 786 of the family's 1533-position model. The record is from RNAcentral.
UACGGAAGGCAGCAGUGGGGAAUAUUGCACAAUGGGCGAAAGCCUGAUGCAGCUAUGCCGCGUGUAUGAAGAAGGCCUUAGGGUUGUAAAGUACUUUCAUCGGGGAGGAAAAACAAAACUAAUAAUUUUAUUUCUUGACGUUACCCGAAAAAGAAGCACCGGCUAACUCCGUGCCAGCAGCCGCGGUAAUACGGAGGGUGCUAGCGUUAAUCAGAAUUACUGGGCGUAAAGAGCACGUAGGUGGUUUUUUUAAGUCAGAUGUGAAAUCCCUGGGCUUAACCUAGGAACUGCAUUUUGAAACUGAAAUACUAGAGUAUCGUAGAGGGAGGUAGAAUUCUAGGUGUAGCGGUGAAAUGCGUAGAUAUCUGGAGGAAUACCUGUGGCGAAAGCGGCCUCCUAAACGAAUACUGACACUGAGGUGCGAAAGCGCGGGGAGCAAACAGGGAUUAGAUACC